GAGGGUAUAGCUCAGUGGUAGAGUGCAUGCCUAGCAUGCAUGAGGUCCUGGGUUCAAUCCCUACUACCUCCA
RNAcentral lists this transfer RNA (72 nucleotides) under Camelus bactrianus (Bactrian camel). It matches the Rfam family "tRNA". Rfam says of the family: Transfer RNA (tRNA) molecules are approximately 80 nucleotides in length. Their secondary structure includes four short double-helical elements and three loops (D, anti-codon, and T loops). RNAcentral also lists the same sequence under 2 other names. Lineage: Eukaryota; Metazoa; Chordata; Mammalia; Artiodactyla; Camelidae. The record is from Rfam by way of RNAcentral.